This is a long non-coding RNA of Bacillus rossius redtenbacheri, 7225 nucleotides long. RefSeq lists it as uncharacterized. The transcript has 7 exons. The record is from RefSeq and is a predicted model, not a curated record. NCBI's taxonomy places the organism in Eukaryota, Metazoa, Arthropoda, Insecta, Phasmatodea, Bacillidae.
GAGGGUGCACAUAGAAACAGGAGAAGAGGGUAGGAAAAAAAGGGAGAGAGUAAAUAUAAUGGUUGUUAACUGCAGGAGUAUCCUAAACAAAGUGGACAAGUUCUGGACAGUGGUUGAGCUCUAUGGGGCAGAUAUAGUGGUGGCAGUAGAGACAUGGCUGGAUGAGGAUGUUGCAGACAAUGAAGUAAGGAGAGGAAGUUACAUAUUUUUCAGAAGGGAUAGAAACAGGAGAGGGGGUGGGAUAAUGGUUCUUGUAAGGGGGGAGUUGGACGCAGAAGUCAAGUGGAAGGGAGGAAAGGAAGAAAUACUUCAUCUGGAGAUCUCAGGGAAGAAGAGGAAAAUGCAGCUGUUUGCGGUGUACAGGCCGUCGGGUGAUGGGGGUACAGAGGUGGAGGCUGUACUCGAAAGGCUUUAUAGGCUGAAGGAGGACAGCAUGGUAGUUGUAGCAGGUGACCUCAACCUUCCAGGGGUCAAAUGGCAGUGUGGUAAAGAACUGGUGGGGCCACUGGGACAACGGAGGGCAACUAAACUGGUGAACAUGGGGUUACAACAAGUGGUGGUAGAGGAAACUAGGAUGGGUGGGGGAGCUGGCGCUUCAAUAUUGGAUGUAGUGCUGGUAAGACCCGAGGAGCUAUAGCCCGUCCCACUCUUAGAUUGCAGUACACGGCUUAUGGCGCGCGCUGUUGCCAAAUCUCUAACACAUUACGAAUUUCAGGAGAUGCGUGUCUUUGUCAUUUGGAUCGAACAAGAAGCAUUUUAAGAACUCAUAUCGUAAUUUAUAAUAUUUUAUACUAUUACACAUAUAAAUUUGUAAUAAUGCCACUUUUAUGUAAAUUUCAAUUAAAAACUACCUAUUGUAGACAAAAUUUUCUUAUAGUUUUCUUUUCUAUUCUAAAAAUCCCAUUAUAUAUAUAUAUAUAUAUAUAUAUCACAUUUUCAUGGGCCUGAUAAAUGCCGUAUUUUUGGACAAGUCGUGUCCAAAAUGAUAAAUAAAAUACGGUAAUGGAAAUUCUCGGUCAAGUAAGUUAUGGGAAAAAUCCGAACAAUUGGUUCGAAAUGGGGAAGAUUUUUUGAAAAACAGAAAAAUCACAACAACUCCCAUAAUAUGAAUAAUAUCGAAUCCGUUUUAACGUAUGAUAACUCGGAUUACCUAAUGCCGAAAAAUGUUUUCUAAAUACAUUUUUGAUACGACCAGCCAUAACUGCAUGGGUUCGAAAAAAAUUUUCACCGGACAAAAAAACGUAACUGCCUUAGUAGACACCUUAUCAAAUCUGUUUAAAUUGUUUGUAAUAAUAUCAUAAUUAUUUUCCAAAACUUUGUCUAAAACAAUGUUUGAUAAGAUGCUUCGUGAGAAGGAUAGAAAAAUAAUUCAAAAUUUUGUACCAUGAUCGCUAUUAAAUUCCUUCGUAUUUAUUUCAUACAUUUUAAAUAUUAUGUUCAAGAAUCGAUUAUAAUAUUUUUUGUUGACUAAGGAAGCCAUGUAUUUGAAAUUGCUUGUAGGACAGAACCCCACUUAUCUAAACACACGACCCUGUUUCCUCUUACGACGGCAGCGCGCGCUCUUGUACUGAUAAGACACAUCUUUAACAGCUAUUUCCACGGAAACUGUAGAAGCAAUUGAGAUGGAGCUGCUUUUAAAAACUAAUUCAAUUCAUUGUGAACAUUUUUCUCGCUUUCGUCCCCCAUCUAUCUUUAAUAGAAAAAAAAUUUUCCGCGGGUCAACUUUUUGAUGUGUCAGUUUGUGAGAAAAUGCAUUUCAGUAUAUUAAAAAAAUUAUUUAAGUGAAACCUGUACAGUUUUUGUCUUAACAUUUGUUCGGUGGCGUCCUAAGGCAUUAAUUUACUAAUAAAAAAAUCUGAAUGAAAUACACAUGUAGGUUUUCUUUUUCUGAUGUGAAACAUAUUAGAAUACUUCAAAACAGUUCGCAGCGAAUAAGUUAUGUUUUUUAAUUUUUUCGGACACUUAAAAUAUUGUUAAGGAUUCAAAAUAAGCAUUGCCUGAUGCGUAUUUUGAUUCUAUACAAUAUGAAAAAAAGCUUGGUCCAAAAAUUAAAAUUUUAAAUUUCGUUUGAUAUUUGGCAACAACGAACGAAGAAACAAGGACAGUGCUAACGGCAAUCGGCGUGUGUUAGAGAGAGAAUGCGCCCAUUUACUUCCAUACUGCAAUCUAAGAGUGGGAUGCUCUAUAGCCACUCACUCUAAAGUGGUGGAUGGGAUAAGCGACCACGAUAUUCCCGUUGUGGAGAUUUGCCUGGACAAGAAGGUCAUGAAAGGCAGCAGCAGGCAAAUAUGGUUGUAUGGGAGGGCAGUACAGACAAGGGUGCAGGAGUUUCUGGAAGAGAAAUUCUACCAAUGGAGCAUAGGCAUCGAUGUGCAGGAACUGUGGAGGGAUUUCAAAAAGGUGGUGGGAGAUGCUCAAGAGCAAUAUGUACCUAAAAAGAGGAUUAAUGUGGGAGGGGACCCACCUUAUCAUGGAAGGGAAAUUCGGAAACUAAAGAGGAAGGGUAGACUGUUAUAUGCGCUGUGGAAAAAGGAAGGAAAGAAGACAGUAACAGAGGAGCUGAAAGAAAUAGGAAAGCAACUGAAUAGAGAGAUAAAGAAGGCGAAGGAGGCCUAUCUCGGGGACCUGAUGGUACAGGGGACAAAAGGCAACUGGCAAAAGCUAUACGGGUUUGUUAGAAGCACGAAGGGCACAGGGACAGGGGUACCAAUUUUGAGGAAUCAGGAAGGUGAAAUUGCAGCGGGAUCCAAGGAAAAGGCAAACUUGUUGGCCAUGCAGUACAUGUCAGUGUUCGAGAAGGGAAAACAGUGGGAAAGGAAACAUGCUGAGCAUAGUACAGGGCGACACGAGAAACGGCUGAUCAGGAAGGAAGAAAUUGAGAAAGUAGUGAAAAGGUUAGACAGCAGGAAAGCCAUAGGUAAGGAUGGCAUAGGGAAUGGGAUGAUAAAGCUGGGGGGGGGGGGGGCAAGCCAAGGUGAAGUACCUGGAGCUGUUAUUCAGUAGAUCGCUGCAGGAGCGCAAAUUGCCGCAAGAAUGGAAGGAGGCGGUGGUGGUAACUAUACACAAGAAGGGGGGUAGCAAAGAGGACCCAGCCAGCUAUAGACCAGUUAGCAUCACGUCGGCAGUAGGCAAGGUAAUGGAGAGGUUAGUGCACAGGCAUGUAGUAGGGGAACUGGACAAAAGGCAGUGGAUUGACAGGAGACAGCAUGGAUUUCGGAGGGGAUAUUCAUGUGAAACUCAGCUGGCUGGCCUGUUGGAGGAGCUGGUGGAGGGGGUAGAUAAUGGUCUACAGAUAGAUGCCUGUUUCAUCAAUUUUGAAAAAGCAUUUGAUAAAGUUCCUCACGAAAAAAUGAUGAAAAAAGUGGAGGGAGCUAUAAGUGACAGGAGGGUGGUGGGUUGGAUUGGUGACUUCAUAAGCAACAGGACACAGAGGGUACGUGUGGAGGAGGAGUUGUCGGAAGGGUUACGUCAGGGGUGCCGCAGGGCAGUGUGCUUGGCCCACUUCUCUUCACUAUAAUGAUGAAUGAUAUAGGUGAGGAGAUAAAAGGGCAUAUCAGGCUGUUUGCAGAUGACUGCGUGGUAUACAUGGAUGCGGAAAUAAAUGGGCUACAGGAUGAUCUGGAAAGUCUGGAAGAGUGGGUGGAAAAUAAUGGUAUGAAAAUAAAUGUGGGAAAGACAAAAGUGGUCAGGUUUACCAGGAAGAGGAAGAUUGUCAGGAGGGAAUAUCGCUGGAGGGGAGACGUGAUAAGUGAGGCCGACAGCUAUAAAUAUCUAGGGGUGGUGCUGCAGGGUAACCUGGGGUGGGGGGAGCAGGUAGACAAGGUAGUCAAGAAGAGCAGACAGGCCCUGGGCAUGCUGGGACGAGUGCUCAGGGGGGGAAGCAGCAGCAUACGUGACAAGGCCUAUAAAACUAUGGUCUGCCCCAUGCUGGAGUAUGCCGCAGCAGUGUGGGACCCAUACACGGCAGUACUUGAGAGGGAGCUGGAGGGGGUGCAGAGGAGAGCAGCUAGAUGGGUGAAGGGCAAGUGGAGGAGAAUGGACAGAGAAGGGAAGGGGGAGUGCAGUACCACAGAGAUGAUGAUAGGAAUGAGAUGGGAGAGCUUAAAGGAUAGAAGACAGGAGAGAUUUGUCAAGAUGUACCAGGUGCUGAGUGGAGUGGGAGGAUGGGGAGAGCUGGGGGGAAAAGUCAAAAUGGGAAUGACUAGAAGUAGGAAGGAAAAUACUAGGAAGGUUUUCAAAGAGAGGAGGUGGAGGACAGAAAGGGGAAAGAAUGCAAUGGUCGUGAGGACGGUAGGGGAAUGGAAUAGGCUGGAGGAGGAGUGUGUGGUGGCUGGGAGUGUGGACCAGUUCAGAAGAAGAGUGCGGGGAAAGUAGGGAGAAUGCUUGCCACCGGGCACUUUGUACCCAAUUGCAGCUAUAUAUAAUAAUAAUAAUAGAAGAGAAUCGCUUCACGCAAAUUUUCUGGCAUGAGCGAUGAAAAAAUUUAGCUGAAAAUAUGCAGUUUUCAUUUCACUGCAGAUUCUUUCAGCCUUGGGACUAAAUGCUUAAAUGCUAAUGCAGUUCCCACCAUUCUGUUACCGGGUUCAUCAGAGGAAGUGUGUUUCAACACUUCCGGCAAUGAGAAUUCUGAGAUACAACUUGUGUUUCAUGAUCACACAUAUUCAACUGUUGGCUUCAACAGUGCGACUGGCAAGCUGAACCAUGACCUAAUCCCAACAUGUGACAAUAUAGUGACGAGCCUAAUUCAAUCAGAUUCAACUGUUAGCUUGAACAAUGUUGCUACCAAUACCAACAUGUGACCAAAUUGUGACAUCGCCAAUGCGAUCAGGCAACACAAGUGAUAUUCCAUUGUCAAGAAAUACACCAGUUGCUGAAGAAAAAUGUGAACCUUCGAAAAAAGGAUGGUAGACCGCGCGCGACCCCUCCCGAGAUGAGCUGCUCAAGCCCAGCGCUGGUGGUGUUGCCGCGCCGUCCCUCACCUGGCCGUGGCGCGGAGUUCUCGGUGACGCGCGGCGACGAGGGAGUCGUGGACCGGAGCUCGCAGGUCUCGGGAACUCACGGAGAAGUUCCUGUUUGCGGGACUGGACACGCCAAAAGGCGGGGUUACGAAUUGCAACAGCAAGGCUGAGUUUAUAAACCAGGAAAGUGUUGCAACAACGCGUCACGUUCGUUGCAAAUAUUUGAUUUAAAAGGGUAUCCUUUUUACUAUGCAAAACUUAUACAGGUGAAAAAUGUGAUGUGUAUAAAUACAAAUAAUAUGCACAUAACAUGCACACAAUAUCUGCAUCUUUGAAAGUUUUUGGAACACUUCACUUCAAACAGGGAAGGAGAAUAAAAAGAUGGAAUGCAAAUAGUUGGAAGUUGGUUGAUGCUUGCAUUGCUGUGCGUAAUUUUUAAACUUGGCCUAAGGCAGUUGAAUAAUUUGCAUCCACUUUAUUUUUUUGUUACAGGCGGUACCAGGUGGAGUGAGUUGAGGUGAUGACUGGACUGCUUGGGAGGGAGAAGGAACCUUGAGUGCCCCACUCCUAAUUAUCUGGAAAGGAAUUUUUAAAGGAUGCUACAGUGCUGCAAUUUUUGUUAUGUUGGAAAUUACAUCGAAUUCUUUCCAGUGAUUUCGAUCAAAUACAACAGGAAUUGUGAAAUUAUGUAUAAACAUUUAGAAUGUUAGUAGUGUGUUUUUCAGUAUACAGACAAAUCUUACUAAUACCAAAAUAAAGGGUCCGUAAAUAUGGCACUUUCUUAUUAUGAUUUUAACUUUGUGAUUAACAAAUUUUAAUAAUUUGUAAAGACAAUCAAAUUAAAGUUAUAAAUAUUAUACACAUUAUCAGAAGAUAAAUUUUAAGCAGUAAUAAAAUAUGUAAUUUUUGUACUGUACUACUCUUAACAACAUAUACGUAAGUUUAAAUUACCUACAAAGUAACAUAUCUUUAUUUUGAAUUACUAUAUACUUCCUAAGAUGUUUCUUCAUCGUACAUUGAACUAGAAUAUGGCAUAAGUAUUAUUUUAGUUGAAAAAGAAAUAGUGGCUUAUAAUUUUGUGAUAUUUGUACAAACAUUUAAUGUUUUUCCAGGGGGCAAAAUAACUUUUGUUUUACACGUUAAGAAAAAUAUUUUUUACUAAAUCUGCUUAGCACUAUAACUCAUAUGUAAUUUCUAGGGGCUGUGAAAACAUUUUGUAUUAAGGAGUUUAGUAUUAAGGUAAUGAGGUUUAACUGAAGUACUAUUGUGUACUUAUUUUUGAGUAAAGUGGUUUCUUAAAUUGAAAUGUACAAAAUUUAAAAUUCAUAGUAGUUAACUGCAUUCUAUGUAUUGCCUGCUGGAAAAUCAUUCAGGCUGUCUCGCGUGUGUAGAAUGUUACAGAAUAUUACAUAUUGUUUAAAUUAUUGUUUGUUAGUUUUUCAAAUUUGGUUUUAUUUUGAAAUUAUUUUUGAAUUGUUUAUUGUGUUGUUUAAAUUGAUUACAGUGUUUUAUCACAGUUAUAACUCACAUAAAUGUGGCAUGAUGUUUAUGGUCCUACUGUUAGAUUCUUGGUCUAGGUUGUAUACAUGACAGGAUAAAGCACCGUUCAACAGCAUUCAGUUUUCAAGUUGCUGUCGGGCAGUUUGGUAGUUAAAAUGGAAAAAUAUAGUAUUACAAUUAAAAUGAACUGGCACAAUAUGAAUUUCUAUCCGAUAUGGUCAAUGUUUUUUAGUCUUGCCCUUUGCUCAAUAUAUGUAACUUUUACUGUGUAAAAUGCUGCCCAAGAUGCAUUCUUUCCCAUAUAAAACUACUGUCUUUUAAAGUUAAAAUCUAUAUUUAGUUAUGCUUUCCAGCUCAUGUUAGGGUUACAGUUUUUUUCUCUCUAUUUAAAGUUGAACUAAAUAGGGGUUUGUUGCAUGAUUUGCUUUUUAAUUAAACGUAUAACCAUGCAAUGUGUUAAAUUAUGAAAAACUUUUCAAUUGAGAUGUUAAUAUAAAAUGUGUGAAUAUUAUGUGAUAAAACACUAUGGUUAAGAGUAAUGGUACAUUUGUAACACGUGUGGUCUGCCAAGCAUCUAAUGUGUGUAUUCAUGAAGUAUUUUAGACUUGGUGUUCUAUGAGUAGUUGAUAAAUUAAGUCUUUAUAAUACUUAUUUGAUAAUGAAAAUGUUCACAGAAAUCAUUUUUUUUAAUAUUCUAAGAAAUUCCUUAUUAAUUUAUGUUCACUUGUGUAGUAUAAAUAAAUAUAAAUUUUGUUUUGAACAGGAAA